This 1516-nucleotide ribosomal RNA is filed under the name Candidatus Woesebacteria bacterium GW2011_GWC1_38_13. RNAcentral's name for it is "bacterial SSU rRNA". It matches the Rfam family "Bacterial small subunit ribosomal RNA". Lineage: Bacteria; Candidatus Woeseibacteriota. The record is from RNAcentral.
AGGGUUUGAUCCUGGCCCAGGAUGAACGCUAGCGGCGUGCUUUAAGCAUGCAAGUGGGACGAGUUGUCGCAAGACAACUAGUCGCGAACGGCUGAGUAACACGUAAGAACUUACCCCUUGGCGGGGAAUACCUCCGCGAAAGCGGGGCUAAUACCGCAUGACCUCCUGCUAUGCAGGAGAAAAGGAUUUAACUAUCCACCGAGGGAAAGGCUUGCGACCCAUCAGCUUGUUGGUGAGGUAAUGGCUCACCAAGGCUACGACGGGUAGGGGAUGUGAGAGCAUGUUCCCCCAGAAUGGGACUGAGACACGGCCCAUACACCUACGGGUGGCAGCAACUGGGAAUCGUACGCAAUGGACGAAAGUCUGACGUCGCGACGCCGCGUGAGGGAUGAAGGCGGAUUCGUUGUAAACCUCUUUUGCUCCGACUGAGAAGUCGGGGAGAAUAAGCACCGGCUAACUCCGUGCCAGCAGCAGCGGUAAUACGGAGGGUGCAAGCGUUAUCCGGAUUUAUUGGGCGUAAAGCGUUUCGUAGGCGACAUGAUAAGUCACCUUUUAAAGACUCCGGCUCAACUGGAGAAAGGGGGGUGAUACUGUCGUGUUUGAAUCAUUUAGGGGCUACCGGAACUAUCGGUGUAGGAGUGAAAUCCGUUGAUAUCGAUAGGAACACCAAGGGCGAAGGCAGGUAGCUGGGGAUGUCGGGUACCAUUUGGUACUCGACCGGGUACCGUAAGGUAUCCGGUAUUGACGCUGAGGAACGAAAGCUAGGGGAGCGAAAGGGAUUAGAGACCCCUGUAGUCCUAGCCGUAAACGAUGCUCGCUAGCCCUUCCAGGUCUGACUUGGAGGAGCGUAAGCUAACGCGUUAAGCGAGCCGCCUGGGGAGUACGAACGCAAGUUUAAAACUCAAAGGAAUUGACGGGGACCCGCACAACCAGUGGAGCAUGUGGUUCAAUUCGAGACGAACCGAAGAACCUUACCUAGCCUUGACAUACUACCGUUUUAUUCCGGCAGAAACGUUGGAAGAUCCUUCGUAAGUUGGAUGGUAGUACAGGUGUUGCAUGGCUGUCGUCAGCUCGUGCCGUGGGGUGUUCCCUUCAGUGGGGUAACGAGCGCAACCCCUGUCCUAUGUUAAAUAUUCAUAGGAGACUCUUUAAGUUUUGUCUUAUUGGGAAGUGGGGACGACGUCAAGUCAGCAUGGCCCUUAUGGCUAGGGCGACACACAUGCUACAAUGAAGCCGACAAAGGGUUGCCAAGCGGUAACGCGGAGCUAAUCCCAAAAACGGCUUCUCAGUGGGGAUUGAGGGCUGAAACCCGCCCUCAUGAACGCGGAAUUGGUAGUAAUCGCGGAUCAGUAAUGCCGCGGUGAAUACGUUCUCGGGUCUUGUACACACCGCCCGUCAAGUCAGCAAAGUUGGGGGCACCCGAAUUCCCGUUGAACGGGAGCAAGGUGACACCAGCGAUGAGGAUUAAGUCGUAACAAGGUAUCCGUACUGGAAGGUGCGGAUGGAUCACCUCCUU